This 1719-nucleotide long non-coding RNA is filed under the name Malus domestica (apple). RNAcentral's name for it is "long non-coding RNA (MDOM_LNC003917)". Lineage: Eukaryota; Viridiplantae; Streptophyta; Magnoliopsida; Rosales; Rosaceae. The record is from RNAcentral.
AUAAGCCAACUGUGCUUCGAAAGGGUUCAACAUACUUUGUGUCUUCGACACUUGCUACAAUGUACCUCGACACCUUGCCUUUAUUCUCACCAACCAGGUGAUGAAAUGUGAAGAAAGAACUCAUCUUCAUGCCACUAACCAGGUGAUGAAAUGUACAACCCGUACUCUCCUUCAUGCCACAAACCAAGUGAUGAACUGUACAUCCCGUACUCUAAUAUCAUUUGGCAACUUGCCACUCAUGCCACCAACCAGGUGAAGAAUGAACUCAUCUUCAUGCCACAAACCAGGUGAUGAAAUGUACAACUCGUACUCUCCUUCAUGCCACCAACCAGGUGAAGAAGGAACUCAUCUUCAUGCCACUAACCAGGUGAUGAGAUAUACAACCUGUACUUUAAUAUCAUUUGGCAACUUGCCAUUCAUGCCACCAACCAGGUGAAGAAGGAACUCAUUCUCGUGCCACCAACCAGGUGAUGAAAUGUGAUGAAAGGUGAUGAAGGAACUGACCUUCAUACCACCAACCAAGUGAUGAAAGCAACUCACCAUUCAUUCCACCUACCAGAAGACAAGUGGUACAACUUGUACAUGUGAACUCCUAGCAUUCACAAAUAAUCAAAAACCCUCAAGCUUGACAACUUAACUAGGGGAGCACAUAUGCCCAACAAGAGCUUCAUCGAAGGAGUUCAACCACAAUUCUCAAAAGUUUCACACUCUUGAUCAAGACAGUGUGAAGCAACACCAAUUUAUGGUGCCAACAAGAGCUUCAUCAAUGGAGGGCAACUACAAUUCUCAAAAGCUUCACACUCUUGAUCAAGACAUUGUGAAGCAAAACCAAUUUAUGGUGCCAACAAAAGCUUCAUUAAUGGAAGGCAACCACAAUUCUCAAAAGCUUCACACACUCUUAAUCAAGACAGUGUGAAGUAAAACCAAUUUAUGGUGCCAACAAGAGCUUCAUCAAUGGAAGGCAACCAUAAUUCUCAAAAACUUCACACUCUUGAUCAAGACUAUGUGAAGCAAAACCAAUUUAUGGUGCCAAUAAGAGCUUUAUCAAAGGAGUUCAACCACAAAUCUCAAAAGCUUCACACACUCUUAAUCAAGACAGUAUGAAGCAAAACCAAUUUAUGGUGCCAACAAAAGCUUCAUCAAAGGAGUUCAACCACAAUUCUCAAAAGCUUCACUCUUGAUCAAGAUAGUGUGAAGCAAAACCAAUUUAUGGUGCCAAUAAAAGCUUCAUCAAUGGAGGGCAACUACAAUUCUCAAACCUUCGAAGCAAAUUCAAGACUAUUCGAUGCAAAUUCAAUUUAUAUGGUUAAUCCAAACUUUCGACUACUACAAGGUGUGGCUAGCAUCACAAUCUCUUGCUCAACAGUGUGAAAGCAAAAUUUGUAUAUGUUGUCUCUCCCACAUUUUCAAAUUUCUAGUUUCCUAAAAAAAAAAAAAAAAGGGAAAUUCAACAAAGCUUCAUCAAUGGAGGGCAACUAUAAAUUCUCAAAAGCUUCACCAACAAAAGCUUCAUCAGUGGAGGACAACUACAAAUUCUCAAAAACUUCACACUAUCUUGAUCAAGAUAGUGUGAAGCAAAAUCAAUUCGUGGUACCCAACAAAAGCUUCAACUCCAAAUCUUCACCAACAAAAGCUUCAUCAAUGGAGGACAACUACAAAUUCUCAAAAGCUUCACACUAUCUUGAUCAAGAUAGUAUGAAGCAAAAUCAAUUCAUGGUA